Long non-coding RNA from Anolis carolinensis (green anole), 1745 nucleotides. RefSeq lists it as uncharacterized. The record is from RefSeq and is a predicted model, not a curated record. The transcript is spliced from 3 exons. NCBI's taxonomy places the organism in Eukaryota, Metazoa, Chordata, Lepidosauria, Squamata, Anolidae.
UAUGUAAGCAUUCAGCCUGCUGAUGUGAGACAGAGAGAGGAGUCUAUAAGCACAUCUACACUGACCACUUAGAUCAGUGUGAGAUCAGAUCAGCCACAGGUGGCUAGCUAUAUAACACAUGGGGACUGAUCCAGCUUAACCUGGGAAAAGCUACUUAAUGGUUUCUCCAGGUUAAUCCAACCCACCAGAUUUUCUAACUCGUCAGGAAAGCCUGAAUUCCUCAUCAGGAUUCAGAUUCUCCCCUAAAUUAGAGAAAUCCAGACAGCUGUAACUGGUUCCUAAGUGGAAUAUUGAUUCCAUGCUCUCUUUGCUGAUGUUUGGAAAUCCCCCUUCAUUCUUCUAUAUCAUGUGACUCACCAAGAUAGCUUCCCUCCCUCCUACCAUUCUUCUUUGGAAGACAUAGAAGAAAACGCCACUGGGAUCAGAAACUUAUCAAAGGGUUGUCUCCAUGCGCUUACACAACAUUUUGCAAAAGACUAAUGGCACAUGGAUGAUGAGUCAGAAACUAAAGUGGGGCAGAAAUGGCCAGGAGGAGCCAUAAGAAAGUCAACAUGGUCUGGUGGUUCCAAUGGUGGACAACGAUUCUGGAAAGCAAGACUGAAUCUCUACUAAGUCAUGCAAACCUAUGAGUGACCUUGGACAAGUACACUCUCAGCCUCAGAGAAAGGUGAAAGAAAACUCUCUGGAGUAAUCUUGUCAAGAAAACCUCAUGAGGUCAACCUUAGAAUUUCCAGCAAUUGACAAUGUGCAGCUUGUGGUGUUCCUAUCUCAGAUAUAAAUCUUUUCCAUGAAAUUAUUUUGUAUAUAUCAUGAGAUAUUCACAAGUAGACUGAAAAUUGACAGUUAUUACAUAGGAGAAAAGUAAGAAUGAUGGGGGAAAGGCCUGGCACAAUGAUUAUUGCUUUAAAAGAGUAGCUUAAACAUUUCUUAGCAGCACUCAAUAACCAAACAUGGUAAUCCUCUCAAUGAUUAUUUGUUUGUUUAAAUAUAGGGGUCCCUCAGGGCAUGAUGUGCAUCACAGAAUUUUAAAACUGCCCAGUGAAUAUAUUAUCUGCAAAAUCAAUAAUAUGUCUGAUGCAGUCAAAAAGUAUGGAAUAUGACAGGAUUCUCUCUUCAUCCCUAGACACUGCCUAAGCAUCCUCUAUCCCACACUGAGUUUACAAGCUUGAGAUGACAUCUUUUUUUUCCAAACCACAGAGGGAUAUGAUCCAAUAGCACACAUUGCCAUACUGUAAAUACUCUACAUGUUCAUAGAAGCAAUUAGCCUUUUAAUAUCAUAAACACGGUGAGAAUACAAAGCACUAUGACCUGUCUCAAGGGCUUCAUAAAAAAGAGUAAGCUCUCAAGCAGGAGAGGAUGAGCAGUGUAUUGUCCUAUCAUUCUUUUUACAGGAAACUAUUAUUUCAACAUUAGAAUAUACACCCUUAGCCAUGGAUUCAAUAUCCAUGAUUUUAUGAAACCACACGCAAUGGGUAAAUGUAAUUUGCAUUUGUUUUUAUAUCUAUGUGUCUAUCUAUCUACCUCUCUUUAUCUGAAAGAGUAGCAUAUUAUCAUCUCUUAAACCUUUAAUGCUUUUAGGCAGUUGUGAUAGGCUAUGAACUUUUCAUUUCUUGCCCAAUAAAAAUGCAAGAGAGGGCUCCAUGAGGAUGGGAUAUGAGUGUAAAAAUACAUAGAGUAUGUGGCUUUCUUUUGUAAGUACCCUUGCAUGGAAGAAUUGUGAAAAAAUAGUUUAUGCUUCAUCAAAA